GUUGAAGAACGUAGCGAAAUGCUAUAAGUAAUGUGAAUUGCAGAAUUCAGUGAAUCAUCGAAUCUUUGAACGCACAUUGCGCCCCCUGGUAUUCCGGGGGGCAUGCCUGUUCGAGCGUCAUUUCACCACUCAAGCCUCGCUUGGUAUUGGGCAACGCGGUCCGCCGCGUGCCUCAAAUCGACCGGCUGGGUCUUCUGUCCCCUAAGCGUUGUGGAAACUAUUCGCUAAAGGGUGUUCGGGAGGCUACGCCGUAAAACAACCCCAUUUCUAAGGUUGACCUCGGAUCAGGUAGGGAUACCCGCUGAACUUAAGCAUAUCAAUAAGCGGAGGA
This 331-nucleotide unclassified non-coding RNA is filed under the name soil metagenome. RNAcentral describes it as "partial contains 5.8S ribosomal RNA, internal transcribed spacer 2, and large subunit ribosomal RNA". The stretch from base 1 to 120 matches the Rfam family "5.8S ribosomal RNA", at positions 35 to 154 of the family's 154-position model. The record is from RNAcentral.